UGAAUUUGUGAGAUCUGUGAGGUUCGGGUGGGGUUCCGUGUACAGUUUUGUAAAUAAUUGAUUGUACCAUUAUUGUGCCAGUGAUCAGUGGACGCAAGUUGAAAAAUAAUUGGUCAAUAAGUGAUUGUUUCACUGUGCCUUGAAGACAUGGCUUGCUAAUCUUUAUCUACGAUAAAGAGUGACUGUGGGCCAGCGGGGCUGCGCCGGCACCUGGUCUCCGUCGAGCCGUGACCGAGCCGCUGCCACUGCAGCCGCGGGUGCCCAGCCGGCGGCGCCGUCCGAUGGGCGUCAGUAGGUCGUCGCCGCGCCGCUCCCGCCGCCAGCCGGGCGCGUGACGCCGCCGCCGCCGCCCCCGCCCCGGCCGCCAACACGUCUCACUUCGGCAUCGCGGCGUCCCGCUACUUCGGCGGAGGGCCGGGCGCCGCGCCGCGAGCCAUGCAGAAGACGGGCAAGGAGAAGACCCCGGCGGCGGAGGAGGGCGCCCGCCGCGCCGCCCGCCUGCCCUCCUCCAGCCGGGCCACCGUGCAGAGCACCGGCUCGCGCCAGUCCAGCUCCAGCUCUGGAGGUGUGCUCAUGGUCGGAUCCAACUUCAGGGUCGGCAAAAAGAUCGGCUGCGGCAACUUUGGCGAGCUGCGCCUGGGCAAGAACAUGUACAAUGGCGAACAUGUCGCCAUCAAGCUGGAACCGAUGAAGUCCAAGGCGCCGCAGCUGCACCUUGAGUACCGGUUUUACCGUCAGCUGGGCACUCACGAGGGCGUGCCUCGGGUGCACUAUUUCGGCCCGUGCGGACGCUACAACGCGCUCGUCAUGGAGCUACUGGGGCCCAGUCUGGAGGACCUCUUCGACCUCUGUGAUCGCAAGUUCACGUUGAAAACCGUGUUACUCAUAGCCAUUCAAUUGUUACAUAGGAUAGAGUUUGUGCACUCGAAGCACCUGAUUUACCGGGAUGUGAAACCGGAAAACUUCCUCAUCGGUCGCAGCUCGAACAAACGGGACAAGUGCAUCCACAUCAUAGGUGUCUAUGUGGCCAGAUUUCGGUUUAGCGAAGGAGUACAUAGACCCGGAGACUCACCGGCAUAUACCGUACCGGGAGAACAAGAGUCUGACGGGCACCGCGCGCUACAUGAGCAUCAACACCCACCUCGGGAAAGAGCAGAGUCGGCGGGACGACCUGGAGGCGCUGGGCCACAUGUUCAUGUACUUCCUGCGCGGCAGCCUGCCCUGGCAGGGUCUCCAGGCAGAGACCCUCAAGGAGCGCUACCAGAAGAUCGGAGACACCAAGCGGGCCACGCCCGUCGAGGUGCUCUGCGAAAACUACCCAGAGGAGAUGGCUGCCUACCUGCGCUACGUGCGGCGGUUGGACUUUUUCGAGACGCCCGACUACGAUCACCUGAGGAAGCAGUUCCAGGACCUGUUCGACCGCAAGGGCUACGUGGACGACGGCGAGUUCGAUUGGACGGGACGCACUAUGGCUCGCAAGCUUCGUCGUCUGCGAGCUUUGCCCAAGUAGCAUCCAGUAUUUCUGGCUGUUGGCCCGACCCGCGCUGCCUUGACCCGACCUGACCCGACCUGACCUGGCCUGACCUGUCUCCCUGCUGCUGACCCGGCGCUGUCUCCGAUUGUGACCGUCUCGUCCGCCCGCCCGCUCCUUCUCCGCUGGCCUCUGUCUUCACUUAUCCUGUCUUCUAGUCCUCGACGCCGGUUGGCUCCCUCCAGACGGCUACCGAGGUGGUGGUGUCCCCGACUCGCGAGAGGCAUCCGGCCACCAACAAGGGUAGCAAAGCUCCGUCGGCCUGGCCGGAGGGGCAGCGGACCAUCAACACCACGCUGGGCAGCACGCUGACGCCGGCUGACCGGCACGGCUCCGUCCAGGUGAUGAGCUCUGCGAACGGCGAGCUGGGCCCGGACGACCCGACUGCCGGUCAGAGCAUCACACCCAUCACCGCCCAGCCAGACGUGGACGUCGUCGACGAGACCAAGUGCUGCUGCUUCUUCAAGCGGCGAAGAAAGAAGUCGCGCGGUCAGAAGUGACGUCUGCCGUGGUGCGAGCGGCGAGCGGGCGCCCGCGUGGGACUGCUGCCGGCCGACUCGGAGGACUGACUCUGAGUCGCUGCGGGUGACUCCGAGUCUGUGGAUGACUCCCGAGUCUCUGUUAAUGACUCAGACGGUGGAGAGUCGCCCGGUGGCAGCGAGAGUCGUCCGUCGUCCCGGCACCGUCCGCGCCUCUCCCGAGUCCCGCCGCUCCGGUGGCAGUACGCUGGGUCAGUCAGACCCAUAGCCGACUCCGAGUGGCCGUCCGCUCCGACUGCGGACCCGGCGGUGACCUGCGCGCCGCGCGGCGGCCGUGUGUACCUGACGGACAGCUCGCCGGACGGGCAGGUGGCGUCCCAGUAAAGCACCUGACCUCGCCGCGAUGGCCACCGCAGACAGUCGCAGACGGGUGCCGCGUGCGUCGUCAAGAGUGGAUGUUUUAGUGCGGCGCGGCGGUGGUCGUCGGGUGAUCGUUUGGAGGGUCAGAGACGUCUUGGAGUCGGUGACAGGAGCUGGCGCGGAUGCCGUGGUUGUGUCGGACGGCUGGUAAUCUGAGCUGCGUGGACUGGUGUGAGAGCCGUGUUAGAGUCGCAGUGAGAGCCGGUGAGAGUCGCGGUGACAGCGACGGCCGGUCGGUGAGAGGCCAGGCAGCUGGGCAGGCGGGUCGCCGUACCGCCAGAGCUAAUCGAGAGACAGCACGAGCGGCAGAGAGCGUGUUUCGAGGACGGCGCAGUGUGUGUAGCCCGGGUCAGCUGCUGUGGACGGAUGGUAGUCCGGGCAGAUGACCUCUGACGUGUGUGAGUGGCGACCUUUGACCUCACUAUGGGCGGCGCCGCGCCGACCUCCGGUAGAGCCUCGGUUCAGUUGAGCGACGCCCAGAGUCGCCCGUGUAUGUUACUGUUUGUUGCCCCUACUGUGGUGAGUGCCAUUGUAUUUGUACGUAUCCCCAGACACGACCGUGAUUUUAUUUAAUUAUGAAUAAAGUGCGUCAACGAUU
This 3028-nucleotide unclassified non-coding RNA is filed under the name Amphibalanus amphitrite. RNAcentral's name for it is "casein kinase I-like, transcript variant X1". The record is from RNAcentral. Lineage: Eukaryota; Metazoa; Arthropoda; Thecostraca; Balanomorpha; Balanidae.